UAACUGUGUUUUCAUCCAACAGAUUUCACAUACUUCAAAAUGUGAUACAUGAAAUGGUUUUCUAUCUUAAAAAUACCUUGGUAACAAAAGUAUUAGUUUUGAAAUGUUUAUUAAAAUGACAUCAAGUCACUCUUAAUUAUUGUUCAAAACUCUUAGAUAUCUUACAAGACCAUUUUUACCUUCUUGAACAAAACUAUAUCUAUACACUUAUGUUCUUAUAUAUGUAUUGAUGUUAUAAUUUUCAUCCUUCAUUCAGUUUCCCACACUCUUGUGUAGCAAGGGUGUAUAAACCUACUUGAACAACCGAUUACCUUCCAGUUACUGUCAUAGGGAUAGUUAGAAGAUACAAAACAGUAUUCCUAUGACAAGGAAUUACAUCAGAGUCAGUUCAUUCAUGAGUCUAUACUAUACAUUACAUGUUACAUGAAUAUGCUUACAUGAAUACAUUACAUGAGUACCUUUACGUAGAUACAUUUACCUGUAUACACUUACAUGAAUACUUGUAUCUCGAUUCACGAGGAUGAUUUAUUAGUACCUUCUGUGUAAAUUGUCCUACCUAUCCCAGUUCAACGGGAUAUCUAGACGGGACUGACCAUUCCGAAUCCCAGCUGUUAGCAACAAUGGUUNAUGCCUACGGUUAUUACUUAUACUAGGAGUGCCUUUACGAGACUAACCAUUUCGUGGGCCUACUGUUCGCUAUAGAGGUUGAUGAACAUCUACGGAUGCCUAUGGUUAAUACUUAUACUAGGAGUACCUUUACGGGACUAACCCUUCCUCCCCCUACU
Molecule: long non-coding RNA, 785 nt
Filed under: Lactuca sativa (garden lettuce)
Lineage: Eukaryota; Viridiplantae; Streptophyta; Magnoliopsida; Asterales; Asteraceae
Description: long non-coding RNA (LSAT_LNC001662)
Source: RNAcentral